This is a long non-coding RNA of Vespa mandarinia (Asian giant hornet), 2925 nucleotides long. The record is from RefSeq and is a predicted model, not a curated record. NCBI's taxonomy places the organism in Eukaryota, Metazoa, Arthropoda, Insecta, Hymenoptera, Vespidae.
UAUAUUUUUCUCACAUUGUAUAACAAUUCAUUGAUUUUUUUAUAAUUUUUUUUAGGAAAUAACUGAAAGAUUAAAAAAAAAGGCUAGGUAAUGAAGUAUAUAUAUAUAUAUAUAUAUAUAUAUAUAUAUAUAUAUAUAUGUACGUAUACUUAUCACAUCCUUUUUACGUAACAAGGAGACUCGUCAAGAGUAUUAGCUGAAACGCGGCCAUAGUUGAGCAACGAGGAAGGCCGUUAUAUCGUAACGGCCACCGGUGUGUGCAGUACGGAAUGUGGAAUCGCGGAUGAAAAAACGUGUCACGAAUCCUUGACCUCCUCUCGUAUACACAAGGUGCUAGCUUAGGAGAGCACUUGGGCGAUCAACCACAAGAAAGAUGGCUACCUAAAUACUCUUAGAUUCUUCAAUCUCUUUUUUCACGUAUAAUAGAAUUUCUUAGAGUAGGUACUGAACGAUUCGAUGGAUACAGUGCCAUUUCAAAGAUCUACUGAUGUGAAAAUGUUAUAGAGAAAGAAAAAUUGAUCGAUCUUAUGAAAGUUAUUGUUAUCUAUUUGUUACAAAAAUAAUGAUAAUUCAUAUGACGUUAUCACGAUUGACCUUCUAAGACCUAAUAUACAAAUCUGCAUAUUUAGAUCAAUAACGUUAUGGUUGCUUGUGUGAUUACAAUUUAAAAAUAAUAAGAUAGAUCAAAUUGAUCGAAGUAUUUUAUCUAUAAAUCAAAUGUCGUUUGUCUAUUGAGUUUAGGAUCAAUCGGAAUUUUAUGACGGUUUAUGUAGACAUUUCGCCCCAUUUUUUUCUUUCUUUAUUUUCUUUUUUCCUCUCAUUUAUAUAUUUUUUUUUUGUUUCAAUGCUCGGAUUGCGCCAACUCCCACUUACAAAAUAAUUGUGCGUAUUUAAAUGAAUGGCGAUUAGAAAUGUAAAAAUGUAAGAAAAAUAAAUGUAAUCGGCAUAUUACAUUUAAAAGUUAAAAGAUACUCGAAUCUUAUAUGAGAAGUUGCGAAUAACCGGCUGAACUCUGGCAUGCCAGGCUAGACGAUCCUUGACCUUCUGCCGCAUACCAAAGAAAUUCUGAAACAACGUUGUCUCUUACGCACGAAUGUAGAAAUUUCUUUUUAUUCUCAUCGCAAUGAGUACAACGACCGCCCACGUGAGCUAUACUUAUUUGAUAAAAGUAUUAUUUAUAAACAUAAAGAUAAUAAUCGAUCGAUUUUUCUCACAAUGUCGUUGACUCAUUAUCGGAAAAAUAAUUAAACAUCACGUCAAGGCAUAGGAAAAUUUCUUCUAUUGAAAAAACUCCAGUUAGUCCCUGUUUUUAUUAAUUUAAAUUUCUCUUUCGUAAAUACAAUUGCGAACGCAAGGAACCUCGUUGACAAUCGAUUUGGAAAAUGAAGCAACAGACUUGGCGCGUUUGUCUUUCGAUAUAAUCGAUUUCCAUCACUUUGAAGUCUUCUUGACUGUUCUUCUACGAUAAGACUAGAAAGAAAGCAUGUUCGAUCGCAUAUUACUUGAAGGAAAAGAGAAAGAGAGAGAGAGAAAACUCCUCCAUCUUCUACGUAUGCUGUUACGUUAACUUAUGGAAAGAUAUGACCGCUCCAAUGCCUUCUGAAAUUGAAUUACACGCAUGGUGAUCCACGUGAAAGAGGUGGCUACUGUGCAUGCAGAAUGAGGACAUGUUAAGGUACUAUUUGUAUUACAUGUAACCUGGAGAAUGUUUGGUUGGAUGCCAAGGAAAAAAGUAAGAUUCUCCAAAUAAUCGCAAGAUCCACUCUGAUAUCCUAUCUUAAUCCUUUUUUUUUUUUUAAUUUUUAAUAAAAAAAUAAAACGAUAUUACCGUAAUUUUUAAAAACGAAAAACUUAUUGUUACAUAUAUGUUACAUUAAACUAUAAUUUAUUAGUACAUAUAUGUUGUAAUUUUGCAACGUCAUGGAUUUAAUCUCGUUGUUAUCAUGAAUUUAUUAUAAAAAAUUAUAAUUAUUGUUUCUCUUGUAGAAAACUUCUUUGUUCUUUAUAAAAUAUCUAUAUAUACAAGAGUAUAACAGUUCUUGUCAAAUCAGAUGUCUAAAUAGUAGACGUUUAAUUAAAUCGAUACGAUUACACGUGUUGUAUAUUAUCCGAUUGGAAAGACAGUUUCUUUACAAUUUGAAAAUAAUAUAUUUUAUAAACAUGUUGCAUCCUGUGAGCCACGCGAGUAUGUAAGAGUCUAAUGGAAAGAUGUAUGGAAAAUGCGUGACAAGAAUCCAUGGCCUAUACAGACAGAUCUGUUUAGCUUCCGGUGUUUAUCGUAUCCUAACGAGCUUUGUAGUACUCAGCCUUACAGAUAAGGACAGCUCGUGAAUGAUGCACCUCCCUUUCCUCUCCACACGUUACCUUUUAUGGAUGUUUUACGAUAUACGUUCACAAGUGUACGCGUGCUGGGCGUCAAAUGAAUGAAUUUCCAUGUGGUACUACGUAAUCGUAUAUUCUAAGUAUUCAAAUGAAAGAAUAAAAUGAUUUCCUCUUUGUAUAAAAUUAACGACUUGGUAAGGAAAAAAAAAGAAAUAAAAAUAAAAAAGAAAGAAAGACAAAAAGAUAGAAAAAUAAAGAUAAAAAUUUUUUUUUCAAUUAUCACCAACGAUAAGACGAACGAUUCAAUGUAAAAUCGUGUUUAUAUUUGAGCCAAUUACCGAAUGAAAUAGAAUUUAAUUAAAUAAACUCUUCGAACCUUUUUCCUUUAAAUUUACCAAUUCCAUUUCCUCUUAUUGUUAUAUCUUUUUCUUUUUGUUUUCCUGUUUUGAUAAUCAACGUCUAUGGUGCAAUAAUGAUAGGACGACAACGACGACGAAGACGACGAAGACGACGACGACGACGACAACAAUAACUCGUAUGAAAGUAUGAAUACAUUGCAGUCCUAUGCAAAUGAAACUAUGUUGCACAUACCGAGACAUCGAU